Molecule: long non-coding RNA, 1018 nt
Filed under: Homo sapiens (human)
Lineage: Eukaryota; Metazoa; Chordata; Mammalia; Primates; Hominidae
Description: HSALNT0028743
Source: RNAcentral
UUGCAAUCAAGACUGGCAGUUUGCAGGUGUAGAGUGUUUUGUUUGACUUGAACGGUGCAAUUUACUUAUUUAUUUUAGUUUAAAUGCCUUUAGAUGGAGCAAGCACUUGACAGUUAAUCAUAGUCUUGCACCUAACUGUUGCUUUGCUUGCAGUUUAUGAGAGAAGAGACUCACCUAUAUGAAAGGAUUGUGUCCCUUCAAUCCAAGGGAUGUUGAAGUCCAAAGAGGUGAACAAUGGAAAGACAUCAGCUGUGAGUCAGUGGGGAGUGUCUGAGGAUGGAGGCGCUAUGGCUCCCUGGAGAUCUCUUGGUGUGUCCACAUGCCGGGUGGGUCCACGGACAGGAGCUCUUCUGGUGCUUCCCUCACUCCCCACCCGACCCAUGCAGUACCCACCCUCUGCAGCUGGGCCCUCCAGCUGGCUCAGCUCAGCCCUGUUUCAUGUUUAGUCGGUCUUUGAUCUUCACUCUUUAACUAAAGCCAGAGCCAGGUGAAACCUGAUUUUAUCCUUUUCUCAAAUGUGAACUAAGCUCAAAAGAAAGAGAAGGCUGAUAUGGACCCACAUCUAAACUCACAUCUGAAAUAAAAACUUGAGUGGAUUUUCCUGUUGAUCUAGAAUUGGUCACUGGGGCUGAAAUUGAGGACAAAGAGAUGAUCACCAACCUUCUGAUCUGGCCCUAUGCUUGGAAGAGCAGGAGGAGAGACAAGGAGGGAGAGAGGGCAGCGUGAACACAGUGUGACCAGAGACAAGCCUGCGUGUCUGCAUUUCAGUGUUUUAAGAGGACAUGAAUUUUCCAUGGGUCCAGUGGACAAUGUGGAAGGUUUCUUUUCUGGGAGCUGCUAUCACUGAAUACAUAAAGAAAUUGAGCCUAUAUGAUUUCAAUCUUCACCUUCUGAUGCUGAUGAAACAGGAUUCUAUGCAGUUUACAGGGGGCCUGGAGGAAUGAAUCAGUGGCAGUGAGUGACAGAGUGGUCUCAGCAGGAAGAGGUGGAGGCAACGCUGGGAUUUGGAAAUGCCUCU